GUGCCAGCAGCCGCGGUAAUACAGAGGGUGCAAACGUUGUUCGGAAUUACUGGGCGUAAAGCGCGUGUAGGCGGCCUCGUGUGUCGGAUGUGAAAUCCCAUGGCUCAACCGUGGAAGGGCAUUCGAAACUACGAGGCUGGAGUGCUGGAGAGGAAGGUGGAAUGCUCGGUGUAGAGGUGAAAUUCGUAGAUAUCGAGCGGAACACCGGUGGCGAAGGCGGCCUUCUGGACAGCAACUGACGCUGAGACGCGAAAGCGUGGGGAGCAAACAGGAUUAGAAACCCUUGUAGUCC
Molecule: ribosomal RNA, 292 nt
Filed under: uncultured bacterium
Lineage: Bacteria
Description: partial 16S ribosomal RNA
Rfam family: Bacterial small subunit ribosomal RNA
Source: RNAcentral